GUUUGCCUCGUCGUGGGAAAGUGUUGACCUGCAUUUUUCGUCUAAUUUCGUGAUACAAUUAAGCCAGAUGACGGCACGCUGUGAGAACGCUGAGAGAACAAUUUACAAAGAGUUCACCGGAGCUAAAGUGGCUACCCUGGGUGCCUCCAAAUGCUAUUUGACUUGGACCUUUAAGCCAGCCAUCCAUCCAUACAAACGGGUCAUAAAUCAACCAACAACUGUCAGUAGCGAGGCAUCUCCCAGCCAAUGUACAUAACCAUCUGUCUUGCUCUACGUACAACUGGAUAGAGAAUGGCACAUAUAGAAAAAAAUCCUACUUAGAUGGUUGUGCCGUAGUUGAAAAAGCUUGUCUCUGAAUAUAAUGGUUGUAUUCGAUUAGCGAUCUGGCGUCGGCCCCUUACGACCAGUCUGAGUGCUCCUUCGACAUUCAUGAUGAAAAAUGACGUUUACGCAGCAUCGCCUGAAGCGUUUUACUUCUACAGAACAAUGAAUGGUUUAAUUGGAACAACACCCACGUCAUCUCU
Long non-coding RNA from Lytechinus variegatus (green sea urchin), 524 nucleotides. RefSeq lists it as uncharacterized. NCBI's taxonomy places the organism in Eukaryota, Metazoa, Echinodermata, Echinoidea, Temnopleuroida, Toxopneustidae. The transcript has 5 exons. The record is from RefSeq and is a predicted model, not a curated record.